Molecule: ribosomal RNA, 497 nt
Filed under: uncultured bacterium
Lineage: Bacteria
Description: partial 16S ribosomal RNA
Rfam family: Bacterial small subunit ribosomal RNA
Source: RNAcentral
GAUGAACGCUGGCGGCGUGCCUAAUACAUGCAAGUCGAGCGAACAGACGAGGAGCUUGCUCCUCUGACGUUAGCGGCGGACGGGUGAGUAACACGUGGAUAACCUACCUAUAAGACUGGGAUAACUUCGGGAAACCGGAGCUAAUACCGGAUAAUAUAUUGAACCGCAUGGUUCAAUAGUGAAAGACGGUUUUGCUGUCACUUAUAGAUGGAUCCGCGCCGCAUUAGCUAGUUGGUAAGGUAACGGCUUACCAAGGCAACGAUGCGUAGCCGACCUGAGAGGGUGAUCGGCCACACUGGAACUGAGACACGGUCCAGACUCCUACGGGAGGCAGCAGUAGGGAAUCUUCCGCAAUGGGCGAAAGCCUGACGGAGCAACGCCGCGUGAGUGAUGAAGGUCUUCGGAUCGUAAAACUCUGUUAUUAGGGAAGAACAAAUGUGUAAGUAACUAUGCACGUCUUGACGGUACCUAAUCAGAAAGCCACGGCUAACUAAGUG